UAAAGAAAGCGUAAUAGCUCACUGGUCGAGUCGGCCUGCGCGGAAGAUGUAACGGGGCUAAACCAUGCACCGAAGCUGCGGCAGCGACACUAUGUGUUGUUGGGUAGGGGAGCGUUCUGUAAGCCUGCGAAGGUGUGCUGUGAGGCAUGCUGGAGGUAUCAGAAGUGCGAAUGCUGACAUAAGUAACGAUAAAGCGGGUGAAAAGCCCGCUCGCCGGAAGACCAAGGGUUCCUGUCCAACGUUAAUCGGGGCAGGGUGAGUCGACCCCUAAGGCGAGGCCGAAAGGCGUAGUCGAUGGGAAACAGGUUAAUAUUCCUGUACUUGGUGUUACUGCGAAGGGGGGACGGAGAAGGCUAUGUUAGCCGGGCGACGGUUGUCCCGGUUUAAGCAUGUAGGCUG
RNAcentral lists this ribosomal RNA (399 nucleotides) under Listeria monocytogenes. Its description in RNAcentral is "partial 23S ribosomal RNA". It matches the Rfam family "Bacterial large subunit ribosomal RNA", at positions 1124 to 1527 of the family's 2925-position model. Lineage: Bacteria; Bacillati; Bacillota; Bacilli; Caryophanales; Listeriaceae. The record is from RNAcentral.